Molecule: non-coding RNA, 83 nt
Organism: Lophiostoma macrostomum CBS 122681
Lineage: Eukaryota; Fungi; Ascomycota; Dothideomycetes; Pleosporales; Lophiostomataceae
Source: the annotation of a GenBank genome assembly
GGACGUGUGGCCCAAUGGCAAGGCGCUUGACUACGAUUCGUUCGGUAAUCAAGAGAUUCCAGGUUCGACCCCUGGCACGUUCA